UACGUAGGGGGCGAGCGUUGUCCGGAUUUAUUGGGCGUAAAGAGCGUGUAGGCGGCCAGGUAGGUCUGCUGUGAAAACUCGAGGCUCAACCUCGAGACGUCGGCGGAAACCAUCUGGCUAGAGUCCGGAAGAGGAGAGUGGAAUUCCUGGUGUAGCGGUGAAAUGCGCAGAUAUCAGGAAGAACACCCGUGGCGAAGGCGGCUCUCUGGGACGGUACUGACACUGAGGCACGAAAGCUAGGGGAGCAAACAGG
Molecule: ribosomal RNA, 253 nt
Filed under: uncultured bacterium
Lineage: Bacteria
Description: partial 16S ribosomal RNA
Rfam family: Bacterial small subunit ribosomal RNA
Source: RNAcentral